This 499-nucleotide ribosomal RNA is filed under the name uncultured bacterium. RNAcentral describes it as "partial 16S ribosomal RNA". It matches the Rfam family "Bacterial small subunit ribosomal RNA", at positions 30 to 523 of the family's 1533-position model. The record is from RNAcentral.
AUUGAACGCUGGCGGCAUGCUUUACACAUGCAAGUCGAACGGUAACAGGGUGCUUGCACCGCUGACGAGUGGCGAACGGGUGAGUAAUGCGUCGGAACGUGCCGAGUAGUGGGGGAUAACGCAGCGAAAGUUGUGCUAAUACCGCAUACGUACUGAGGUAGAAAGUGGGGGACCUUCGGGCCUCACGCUAUUCGAGCGGCCGACGUCUGAUAGCUAGUAGGUGAGGUAAAGGCUCACCUAGGCGACGAUCAGUAGCGGGUCUGAGAGGAUGAUCCGCCACACUGGGACUGAGACACGGCCCAGACUCCUACGGGAGACAGCAGUGGGGAAUUUUGGACAAUGGGCGAAAGCCUGAUCCAGCCAUGCCGCGUGUCUGAAGGAGGCCUUCGGGUUGUAAAGGACUUUUGUCAGGGAGGAAAUCCCUAGUGCUAAUAACACUGGGGGAUGACAGUACCUGAAGAAUAAGCACCGGCUAACUACGUGCCAGCAGCCGCCGUAA